RNAcentral lists this ribosomal RNA (548 nucleotides) under uncultured Glomeromycotina. Its description in RNAcentral is "SSU rRNA". It matches the Rfam family "Eukaryotic small subunit ribosomal RNA", at positions 548 to 1097 of the family's 1831-position model. The record is from RNAcentral. Lineage: Eukaryota; Fungi; Glomeromycota.
UUGGAGGGCAAGUCUGGUGCCAGCAGCCGCGGUAAUUCCAGCUCCAAUAGCGUAUAUUAAAGUUGUUGCAGUUAAAAAGCUCGUAGUUGAAUUUCGGGAUCAUCAGGUUGGUCGUGCCUCUGGUAUGUACUGAUUUCGAUGGUUCCUCCUUCUUGAAGAACCGUAAUGCCAUUAAUUUGGUGUUGCGGGGAAUCAGGACUGUUACUUUGAAAAAAUUAGAGUGUUUAAAGCAGGCAAUCGCUUGAAUACAUUAGCAUGGAAUAAUGAAAUAGGACGUUCGAUCCUAUUUUGUUGGUUUCUAGGAUUGACGUAAUGAUUAAUAGGGAUAGUUGGGGGCAUUAGUAUUCAAUUGUCAGAGGUGAAAUUCUUGGAUUUAUUGAAGACUAACUACUGCGAAAGCAUUUGCCAAGGAUGUUUUCAUUAAUCAAGAACGAAAGUUAGGGGAUCGAAGACGAUCAGAUACCGUCGUAGUCUUAACCAUAAACUAUGCCGACUAGGGAUCGGAUGAUGUUAAUUUUUUAAUGACUCAUUCGGCGCCUUACGGGAAA